RNAcentral lists this transfer RNA (72 nucleotides) under Camponotus floridanus (Florida carpenter ant). It matches the Rfam family "tRNA". Rfam says of the family: Transfer RNA (tRNA) molecules are approximately 80 nucleotides in length. Their secondary structure includes four short double-helical elements and three loops (D, anti-codon, and T loops). Further hydrogen bonds mediate the characteristic L-shaped molecular structure. tRNAs have two regions of fundamental functional importance: the anti-codon, which is responsible for specific mRNA codon recognition, and the 3' end, to which the tRNAs corresponding amino acid is attached (by aminoacyl-tRNA synthetases). tRNAs cope with the degeneracy of the genetic code in two manners: having more than one tRNA (with a specific anti-codon) for a particular amino acid; and 'wobble' base-pairing, i.e. permitting non-standard base-pairing at the 3rd anti-codon position. The record is from Rfam by way of RNAcentral. Lineage: Eukaryota; Metazoa; Arthropoda; Insecta; Hymenoptera; Formicidae.
GGCCGAAUAGCUCAGUGGUAAGAGCAGUCGCCCGGCAAGCGAAAGACUCGGGGUCGAUUCCCGACUCAGCGA